GAUGAAGAACGUAGCGAAAUGCGAUACUUGGUGUGAAUUGCAGAAUCCCGUGAACCAUCGAGUCUUUGAACGCAAGUUGCGCCCGAAGCCGUCAGGCCGAGGGCACGCCUGCCUGGGCGUCACACGCCGUUGCCCCCCCGCGCCCCGCACCCAACGCUUUGGGAGCGACCGCGGGGCGGGCUGAUGAUGGCCUCCCGUGCGCUCCGCCGCGCGGUUGGCCCAAAUACCGAGUCCCCGGCGACGUGCGCCACGACGAUCGGUGGUUGAGAGACCUCUGUCGCAAGUCGUGCGCGCCCGUCGCGUCACGCGGGCUCGCAUAGCGCCUCGCGCCGCACCCGGUGCGGAGCUUUCAACGCGACCCCAGGUCAGGCGGGGUUACCCGCUGAACUUAAGCAUAUCAAUAAGCGGAGGA
RNAcentral lists this unclassified non-coding RNA (412 nucleotides) under soil metagenome. RNAcentral describes it as "partial contains 5.8S ribosomal RNA, internal transcribed spacer 2, and large subunit ribosomal RNA". The stretch from base 1 to 122 matches the Rfam family "5.8S ribosomal RNA", at positions 35 to 154 of the family's 154-position model. The record is from RNAcentral.